UCAAAUCAGGUAGGACUACCCGCUGAACUUAAGCAUAUCAAUAAGCGGAGGAAAAGAAACCAACAGGGAUUGCCUUAGUAGCGGCGAGUGAAGCGGCAAAAGCUCAAAUUUGAAAUCUGGCACUUUCAGUGUCCGAGUUGUAAUUUGAAGAAGGUAUCUUUGGGUCUGGCUCUUGUCUAUGUUUCUUGGAACAGAACGUCACAGAGGGUGAGAAUCCCGUGCGAUGAGAUGACCCAGACCUAUGUAAAGUUCCUUCGAAGAGUCGAGUUGUUUGGGAAUGCAGCUCUAAGUGGGUGGUAAAUUCCAUCUAAAGCUAAAUAUUGGCGAGAGACCGAUAGCGAACAAGUACAGUGAUGGAAAGAUGAAAAGAACUUUGAAAAGAGAGUGAAAAAGUACGUGAAAUUGUUGAAAGGGAAGGGCUUGAGAUCAGACUUGGUAUUUUGUAUGUUACUCUCUCGGGGGUGGCCUCUACAGUUUACCGGGCCAGCAUCAGUUUGGGCGGUAGGAGAAUUGCAAAGAAAUGUGGCACUGCCUCGGUAGUGUGUUAUAGUCUUUGUCGAUACUACCAGCCUAGACUGAGGACUGCGGCUUCGGCC
Molecule: ribosomal RNA, 596 nt
Filed under: Lodderomyces orthopsilosis
Lineage: Eukaryota; Fungi; Ascomycota; Pichiomycetes; Serinales; Debaryomycetaceae
Description: Candida orthopsilosis partial large subunit ribosomal RNA
Rfam family: Eukaryotic large subunit ribosomal RNA
Source: RNAcentral